Molecule: non-coding RNA, 255 nt
Organism: Biomphalaria pfeifferi
Lineage: Eukaryota; Metazoa; Mollusca; Gastropoda; Planorbidae
Source: the annotation of a GenBank genome assembly
CAAAGUGAAUCUAAAUGUGUCUGGGCCACCCAGGUUGUGUAUAAGUGUGAUUGUCUUGGCCACUAAAAGUGAAUCUAAAUGUAUCUGGGCCACCCAGCUGGAGUCUAAGUGUGAUUGUCUUGGCCAUUUAAAGUGAAUCUAAGUGUGACUGGGCUACCCAGAGUGUCUUAAGUGUGAUUGUCUUGGCCACCCAACGUGAGUCUUAAUUGUGAUUGUCUUUGGCCACCCAGAGUGUCUUAAGUGUGAUUGUCUUGA